Molecule: unclassified non-coding RNA, 239 nt
Filed under: fungal sp.
Lineage: Eukaryota; Fungi
Description: partial internal transcribed spacer region
Rfam family: Eukaryotic small subunit ribosomal RNA (bases 1-46)
Source: RNAcentral
AAGUCGUAACAAGGUUUCCGUAGGUGAACCUGCGGAAGGAUCAUUAACACUUUUGAAAGAUUUCAUUUUUCUUUUUCGAAAAAUGAAAUUUUACUUUACCCACAUUUUUGGAUGAAUUAACUUUUAUUAACCCUUCAUAAUUUUUAUACCCCAAAAACAAAACUAAUACUAUUUAUUUCUAACAUUUAUUUAAGAAAAAACAUAAAAAACAACUCUUAACAACGGAUAUCUAGGCUCUC